Acanthosepion pharaonis is the source of this 100-nucleotide non-coding RNA. The record is from the annotation of a GenBank genome assembly. Lineage: Eukaryota; Metazoa; Mollusca; Cephalopoda; Sepiida; Sepiidae.
GCGUUGAAACACCGGUCCCCGUACAAUCGUCGAAGUUAAGCAACCAUGUGCCUGAGCAGUAUCUAGAAUGGUGACCGUUUGGGAAUAUCAGAUGCUGUAA